CAGAGCUGUGGAGUGUGACAAUGGUGUUUGUGUCCAAACUAUCAAACGCCAUCAUCACACUAAAUAGCUACUG
RNAcentral lists this microRNA precursor (73 nucleotides) under Heterocephalus glaber (naked mole-rat). Its description in RNAcentral is "mir-122 microRNA precursor family". It matches the Rfam family "mir-122 microRNA precursor family". Rfam says of the family: In mammals, miR-122 is enriched in liver cells where it has been implicated as a regulator of fatty-acid metabolism in mouse studies. The hairpin precursors (represented here) are predicted based on base pairing and cross-species conservation -- their extents are not known. In this case the mature sequence is excised from the 5' arm of the hairpin. Lineage: Eukaryota; Metazoa; Chordata; Mammalia; Rodentia; Bathyergidae. The record is from Rfam by way of RNAcentral.